CAACCUGCCUGUAAGACUGGGAUAACUUCGGGAAACCGAAGCUAAUACCGGAUAGGAUCUUCUCCUUCAUGGGAGAUGAUUGAAAGAUGGUUUCGGCUAUCACUUACAGAUGGGCCCGCGGUGCAUUAGCUAGUUGGUGAGGUAACGGCUCACCAAGGCAACGAUGCAUAGCCGACCUGAGAGGGUGAUCGGCCACACUGGGACUGAGACACGGCCCAGACUCCUACGGGAGGCAGCAGUAGGGAAUCUUCCGCAAUGGACGAAAGUCUGCGGAGCAACGCCGCGUGAGUGAUGAAGGCUUUCGGGUCGUAAAACUCUGUUGUUAGGGAAGAACAAGUACAAGAGUAACUGCUUGUACCUUGACGGUACCUAACCAGAAAGCCACGGCUAACUACGUGCCAGCAGCCGCGGUAAUACGU
This 419-nucleotide ribosomal RNA is filed under the name Bacillus sp. EndW48. Its description in RNAcentral is "bacterial SSU rRNA". It matches the Rfam family "Bacterial small subunit ribosomal RNA", at positions 122 to 528 of the family's 1533-position model. The record is from RNAcentral. Lineage: Bacteria; Bacillati; Bacillota; Bacilli; Caryophanales; Bacillaceae.